GAUGGACCCGCGGUGCAUUAGCUAGUUGGUGAGGUAACGGCUCACCAAGGCAACGAUGCAUAGCCGACCUGAGAGGGUGAUCGGCCACAUUGGGACUGAGACACGGCCCAAACUCCUACGGGAGGCAGCAGUAGGGAAUCUUCGGCAAUGGACGAAAGUCUGACCGAGCAACGCCGCGUGAGUGAAGAAGGUUUUCGGAUCGUAAAACUCUGUUGUUAGAGAAGAACAAGGAUGAGAGUAAAAUGUUCAUCCCUUGACGGUAUCUAACCAGAAAGCCACGGCUAACUACGUGCCAGCAGCCGCGGUAAUACGUAGGUGGCAAGCGUUGUCCGGAUUUAUUGGGCGUAAAGCGAGCGCAGGCGGUUUCUUAAGUCUGAUGUGAAAGCCCCCGGCUCAACCGGGGAGGGUCAUUGGAAACUGGGAAACUUGAGUGCAGAAGAGGAGAGUGGAAUUCCAUGUGUAGCGGUGAAAUGCGUAGAUAUAUGGAGGAACACCAGUGGCGAAGGCGGCUCUCUGGUCUGUAACUGACGCUGAGGCUCGAAAGCGUGGGGAGCAAACAGGAUUAGAUACCCUGGUA
RNAcentral lists this ribosomal RNA (577 nucleotides) under uncultured bacterium. RNAcentral's name for it is "bacterial SSU rRNA". It matches the Rfam family "Bacterial small subunit ribosomal RNA", at positions 224 to 792 of the family's 1533-position model. The record is from RNAcentral.